Molecule: ribosomal RNA, 449 nt
Filed under: uncultured bacterium
Lineage: Bacteria
Description: SSU rRNA
Rfam family: Bacterial small subunit ribosomal RNA
Source: RNAcentral
AGAGCGAACGCUGGCGGCAGGCCUAACACAUGCAAGUCGAGCGCGUGUAGCAAUACACGAGCGGCAGACGGGAGAGUAACACGUGGAAACGCGCCCUUCGGUUCGGAAUAACUCAGGGAAACUUGAGCUAAUACCGGAUACGCCCUUACGGGGAAAGAUUUAUUGCCGAAGGAACGGCCCGCGUCCGAUUAGCUAGUUGGUGAGGUAACGGCUCACCAAGGCGACGAUCGGUAGCUGGUCUGAGAGGAUGACCAGCCUCACUGGGACUGAGACACGGCCCAGACUCCUACGGGAGGCAGCAGUGGGGAAUAUUGGACAAUGGGCGCAAGCCUGAUCCAGCCAUGCCGCGUGGAUGAUGAAGGCCUUAGGGUUGUAAAGUCCUUUUAACGGGGAAGAUAAUGACGGUACCCGUAGAAUAAGCCCCGGCUAACUUCGCGCCAGCAGCCGAC